ACCCUGAGUGGCACCUCAGGUGGAAGAUACACAAUUUCUAAUGUGCAGCUCAGUGAGGAGGAUAACACAUACAGCUGUGAGCCACAAAAUGUACUUGGAAAUGGACCCGAACAGCCACUGAAGAUCACAGUUAUAGUGCCACCAACAUUCCAGAGUCAGUUAGCAAACAGACAAGCAACGACUGAAAAUGACACUGUGAACUACGCAUGUACAGUUCAAGCCAAACCUGCUGCAAAAGUUGUUUGGAAACUAAAUGGAAAAAAUCUGACAAACCCCACACAUCCAUAUAAUAUCACAACUGAUUUCGUACCAGUUCCAAAUUCUAAACUUUUGAGGACUCUUUCUUAUUUGACCAUUGAUAAAGUAACUUGGCAGCAGAAUGGGACUUUCUCUUGUGUAGCUUACAACAAUGCUGGUCAGAGAAGUCAAACCACAGUUCUUGAAGUGCGCUGUAAGUAUUCAACAAAAUGAAGAGGCAAUUUUGUUUGAA
Long non-coding RNA from Stylophora pistillata, 490 nucleotides. NCBI's taxonomy places the organism in Eukaryota, Metazoa, Cnidaria, Anthozoa, Scleractinia, Pocilloporidae. The record is from RefSeq and is a predicted model, not a curated record.